UUGACCUCGGAUCAGGUAGGGAUACCCGCUGAACUUAAGCAUAUCAAUAAGCGGAGGAAAAGAAACCAACAGGGAUUGCCUCAGUAACGGCGAGUGAACGA
Molecule: ribosomal RNA, 101 nt
Rfam family: Eukaryotic large subunit ribosomal RNA